Non-coding RNA from Triticum aestivum (bread wheat), 115 nucleotides. The record is from Rfam. Lineage: Eukaryota; Viridiplantae; Streptophyta; Magnoliopsida; Poales; Poaceae.
AACAUACUUCCUCUGUUCCAAAUUACUCGUCGCAGAAAUGAAUAUAUCUAGAACUAAAAUACAUCUAGAUGUAUCCAUACCCGCGACAAGUAAUUUGGAACCGAGGGAGUACUUU